CGCAACGGUGCAAAGGGGCUUCAUUUGCAUUUCUUUUAAACCUCUGGAGUACCCUCAGGGAGAGCCCACUGCAUCAAGCAUCCGCCUCUACAAUACCUAUAUAGAACCAGAAACACAACUAAUGAACAGGAAUAUCACUCCUUCAGCCUACUACAUCUGCCAUUCCAAUCACCAUCGCCCGCACCAACGUGACCGAUCUUUUAAAGGUGAGCACUUUCUCACACCAUCAACAGUAUUAUCCAUAUCACCAGGAUCCUUCCCUCUUCUUACAGCAGCAUCAGG
Long non-coding RNA from Hyla sarda, 282 nucleotides. RefSeq lists it as uncharacterized. The record is from RefSeq and is a predicted model, not a curated record. NCBI's taxonomy places the organism in Eukaryota, Metazoa, Chordata, Amphibia, Anura, Hylidae. The transcript is spliced from 3 exons.